UACGGAGGGUGCAAGCGUUAAUCGGAAUUACUGGGCGUAAAGAGUGCGUAGGUGGUUGUGUGUGUUAGAUGUGAAAUCCAUGGGCUUAACCUGUGAAUUGCAUUUAAAACUGCAUGACUAGAGUGUUGUAGAGGGUGGCGGAAUUUCCAGUGUAGCGGUGAAAUGCGUAGAUAUUGGAAGGAACACCAGUGGCGAAGGCGGCCACCUGGACAAACACUGACACUGAGGCACGAAAGCGUGGGUAGCGAACAGG
This 253-nucleotide ribosomal RNA is filed under the name uncultured bacterium. Its description in RNAcentral is "partial 16S ribosomal RNA". It matches the Rfam family "Bacterial small subunit ribosomal RNA", at positions 524 to 776 of the family's 1533-position model. The record is from RNAcentral.